AGAAUCAACGCUGGCGGCGCGCUUAACACAUGCAAGUCGAGCGAGAAAGUGGAGCAAUCCAUGAGUAAAGCGGCGUACGGGUGAGUAACACGUGGAUCAUCUACCUUUUAGUGGGGGAUGACUCUGGGAAACCGGAGCUAAUACCGCAUAAGCCUGUAAAGGGAAAGCAGCAAUGCGCUGAAAGAGGAGUCCGCGGCCGAUUAGCUAGUUGGUGAGGUAACGGCCCACCAAGGCGAUGAUCGGUA
Molecule: ribosomal RNA, 245 nt
Filed under: uncultured bacterium
Lineage: Bacteria
Description: partial small subunit ribosomal RNA
Rfam family: Bacterial small subunit ribosomal RNA
Source: RNAcentral